AGUGAACGCUGGCGGUAUGCCUAACACAUGCAAGUCGAACGGCAGCACAGUAAGAUCUUGCUCUUACGGGUGGCGAGUGGCGGACGGGUGAGGAAUACAUCGGAAUCUACUUUUUCGUGGGGGAUAACGUAGGGAAACUUACGCUAAUACCGCAUACGACCUACGGGUGAAAGCAGGGGAUCUUCGCACCUUGCGCGAUUGAAUUAGCCGAUGUCGGAUUAGCUAGUUGGCGGGGUAAAGGCCCACCAAGGCGACGAUCCGUAGCUGGUCUGAGAGGAUGAUCAGCCACACUGGAACUGAGACACGGUCCAGACUCCUACGGGAGGCAGCAGUGGGGAAUAUUGGACAAUGGGCGCAAGCCUGAUCCAGCAAUACCGCGUGGGUGAAGAAGGCCUUCGGGUUGUAAAGCCCUUUUGUUGGGAAAGAAAAGCAGCAGGUUAAUACCCCGCUGUUCUGACGGUACCCAAAGAAUAAGCACCGGCUAACUUCGUG
RNAcentral lists this ribosomal RNA (492 nucleotides) under uncultured bacterium. RNAcentral describes it as "partial 16S ribosomal RNA". It matches the Rfam family "Bacterial small subunit ribosomal RNA", at positions 29 to 507 of the family's 1533-position model. The record is from RNAcentral.